GGGGGUGUAGCUCAGUGGUAAAGUGUGUGCUUAGCAUGCACAGGACCCUGGGUUCAAUCCCCAGCAUCCCCC
RNAcentral lists this transfer RNA (72 nucleotides) under Marmota marmota marmota (Alpine marmot). It matches the Rfam family "tRNA". From Rfam's summary of the family: Transfer RNA (tRNA) molecules are approximately 80 nucleotides in length. Their secondary structure includes four short double-helical elements and three loops (D, anti-codon, and T loops). RNAcentral also lists the same sequence under 1 other name. The record is from Rfam by way of RNAcentral. Lineage: Eukaryota; Metazoa; Chordata; Mammalia; Rodentia; Sciuridae.